AUUGAACGCUGGCGGCAGGCCUAACACAUGCAAGUCGAGCGAGCGGCGGACGGGUGAGUAAUGUCUGGGAAACUGCCUGAUGGAGGGGGAUAACUACUGGAAACGGUAGCUAAUACCGCAUACCAUCAGAUGUGCCCAGAUGGGAUUAGCUAGUUGCGGGGGUAACGGCGCACCAAGGCGACGAUCCCUAGCUGGUCUGAGAGGAUGACCAGCAAACCUGGAACUGAGACACGGUCCAGACGCCUACGGUAGGCAGCAGUGGGGAAUAUUGCACAAUGGGCGCAAGCCUGAUGCAGCCAUGCCGCGUGUGUGAAGAAGGCCUUCGGGUUGUAAAGCACUUUCAGCGGGGAGGCGUUACCCGCAGAGGAAGCACCGGCUAACUCCGUGCCAGCAGCCGCGGUAAUUC
Molecule: ribosomal RNA, 406 nt
Filed under: uncultured bacterium
Lineage: Bacteria
Description: partial 16S ribosomal RNA
Rfam family: Bacterial small subunit ribosomal RNA
Source: RNAcentral